This 1204-nucleotide ribosomal RNA is filed under the name metagenome. Its description in RNAcentral is "bacterial SSU rRNA". It matches the Rfam family "Archaeal small subunit ribosomal RNA", at positions 241 to 1445 of the family's 1478-position model. The record is from RNAcentral.
GUAAUGGCCCACCAAGACUAUUACAGGUACGGGCUCUGAGAGGAGUAGCCCGGAGAUGGGUACUGAGACACGGACCCAGGCCCUAUGGGGCGCAGCAGGCGAGAAAACUUUGCAAUGUGCGAAAGCACGACAAGGUUAAUCCGAGUGAUUUGUGCUAAACGAAUCUUUUGUUAGUCCUAGAGACACUAACGAAUAAGGGGUGGGCAAGUUCUGGUGUCAGCCGCCGCGGUAAAACCAGCACCUCAAGUGGUCAGGAUGAUUAUUGGGCCUAAAGCAUCCGUAGCCGGCUCUGUAAGUUUUCGGUUAAAAUCUGUAUGCUCAACAUACAGGCUGCCGGGAAUACUGCAGAGCUAGGGAGUGGGAGAGGUAGACGGUACUCGGUAGGAAGGGGUAAAAUCCUUUGAUCUAUCGAUGACCACCUGUGGCGAAGGCGGUCUACCAGAACACGUCCGACGGUGAGGGAUGAAAGCUGGGGGAGCAAACCGGAUUAGAUACCCGGGUAGUCCCAGCUGUAAACUAUGCAAACUCAGUGAUGCAUUGGCUUGUGGCCAAUGCAGUGCUGCAGGGAAGCCGUUAAGUUUGCCGCCUGGGAAGUACGUACGCAAGUAUGAAACUUAAAGGAAUUGGCGGGGGAGCACCACAAGGGGUGAAGCCUGCGGUUCAAUUGGAGUCAACGCCAGAAAUCUUACCCGGAGAGACAGCAGAAUGAAGGUCAAGCUGAAGACUUUACCAGACAAGCUGAGAGGUGGUGCAUGGCCGUCGCCAGCUCGUGCCGUGAGAUGUCCUGUUAAGUCAGGUAACGAGCGAGAUCCCUGCCUCUAGUUGCCACCAUUAUUCUCAGGAAUAGUGGGGCGAAUUAGCGGGACCGCCGCAGUUAAUGCGGAGGAAGGAAGGGGCCACGGCAGGUCAGUAUGCCCCGAAACUCUGGGGCCACACGCGGGCUGCAAUGGUAACGACAAUGGGUUUCGAAUCCGAAAGGAUGAGGUAAUCCUCAAACGUUACCACAGUUAUGACUGAGGGCUGCAACUCGCCCUCACGAAUAUGGAAUCCCUAGUAACUGCGUGUCAUUAUCGCGCGGUGAAUACGUCCCUGCUCCUUGCACACACCGCCCGUCGUUUCAUUGAAGUGAGCUUUUAGCGAGGUGACGUCUAAUUGGCGUUAUCGAACUUGAGGUUCGUGACAAGGGAAAAGUCGUAACAAGGUG